Molecule: long non-coding RNA, 456 nt
Organism: Balaenoptera acutorostrata (minke whale)
Lineage: Eukaryota; Metazoa; Chordata; Mammalia; Artiodactyla; Balaenopteridae
Exons: 4
Source: RefSeq, a predicted model, not a curated record
UGUCAAGCGGGCACUUCGAGAGUCUACUGGAAUUACCUCUCUGGCUCAUCCUGCUUCCCACCCUUGGGGCCCUUCACCAGAGCCAGAUUGGAAGCCUGGCGUUUCAUGCCAAUGUGAGCGUGCCAUCUGUGAGCAGAACCUGCCUAGUUAACUCAAGGCCCCACAAAGUGCCGCUGUGUUUGCUGAGUGCCCUGGGUGAGGCCCCAGGGAUGCUUCCCGGACUACCUGAGAGGUUCUACAAAGACUUUGCUCAGCCAAGCCAAGGCCAGAGGCCAGGUCACAGUUAACUGGAUGGAGUUAACAGCUGAGCAAAGAUUAGAGAGGAACCUACUUUCAUUUGGGAAAAACAGGACCAUACCAUGUGUACAAGACAGAAAUUUCUACAGAUGCUUUAUGAAAGAAAAAAUAUCUUACCAAAGUUACUACUGCACAUUCAGCAGUUAGCAGUGCGGCACU